GCAUAUCAAUAAGCGGAGGAAAAGAAACCAACAGGGAUUGCCCUAGUAACGGCGAGUGAAGCGGCAACAGCUCAAAUUUGAAAUCUGGCGUCUUUGGCGUCCGAGUUGUAAUUUGCAGAGGGCGCUUUGGCAUUGGCAGCGGUCCAAGUUCCUUGGAACAGGACGUCACAGAGGGUGAGAAUCCCGUACGUGGUCGCUAGCCUUUACCGUGUAAAGCCCCUUCGACGAGUCGAGUUGUUUGGGAAUGCAGCUCUAAAUGGGAGGUAAAUUUCUUCUAAAGCUAAAUACUGGCCAGAGACCGAUAGCGCACAAGUAGAGUGAUCGAAAGAUGAAAAGCACUUUGGAAAGAGAGUUAAAAAGCACGUGAAAUUGUUGAAAGGGAAGCGCUUGCAGCCAGACUUGCCUGUAGUUGCUCAUCCGGGUUUUUACCCGGUGCACUCUUCUAUAGGCAGGCCAGCAUCAGUUUGGGCGGUUGGAUAAAGGUCUCUGUCAUGUACCUCUCUUCGGGGAGAACUUAUAGGGGAGACGACAUGCAACCAGCCUGGACUGAGGUCCGCGCAUCUGCUAGGAUGCUGGCGUAAUGGCUGUAAGCGGCCCGUCUUGAAACACGGACCAAGGAGUCUAACAUCUAUGCGAGUGUUUGGGUGUCAAGCCCGAGCGCGUAAUGAAAGUGAACGGAGGUGGGAACCUUUCGGGGUGCACCAUCGACCGAUCCUGAUGUCUUCGGAUGGAUUUGAGUAAGAGCAUAGCUGUUGGGACCCGAAAGAUGGUGAACUAUGCUUGAAUAGGGUGAAGCCAGAGGAAACUCUGGUGGAGGCUCGCAGCGGUUCUGACGUGCAAAUCGAUCGUCAAAUUUGGGCAUAGGGGCGAAAGACUAAUCGAACUAUCUAGUAGCUGGUUC
This 901-nucleotide ribosomal RNA is filed under the name Microsphaeropsis olivacea. Its description in RNAcentral is "LSU rRNA". It matches the Rfam family "Eukaryotic large subunit ribosomal RNA", at positions 38 to 957 of the family's 3401-position model. Lineage: Eukaryota; Fungi; Ascomycota; Dothideomycetes; Pleosporales; Didymellaceae. The record is from RNAcentral.